This 253-nucleotide ribosomal RNA is filed under the name uncultured bacterium. Its description in RNAcentral is "partial 16S ribosomal RNA". It matches the Rfam family "Bacterial small subunit ribosomal RNA", at positions 524 to 776 of the family's 1533-position model. The record is from RNAcentral.
UACGAAGGGGGCUAGCGUUGCUCGGAAUGACUGGGCGUAAAGGGCGCGUAGGCGGCUGUGACAGUCAGAUGUGAAAUUCCUGGGCUUAACCUGGGGGCUGCAUUUGAUACGUGUUGUCUAGAGUGAGGAAGAGGGUCGUGGAAUUCCCAGUGUAGAGGUGAAAUUCGUAGAUAUUGGGAAGAACACCGGUGGCGAAGGCGGCGACCUGGUCCUUUACUGACGCUGAGGCGCGAAAGCGUGGGGAGCAACCAGG